AUCAACUGGCUACUGUGCCAGCUGGUGGAUAGCUCGGCUCGAGAGCCGAUGACGGACGUGCCAAGCUGCGAUAAGCCUCAGGGACCCGCAUGGAGGGAAAGAACUGAGGAUCUCCGAAUGGGAAUCCCCACGCAAUUGCCUCGCGCAAUGGGGAACGUUCCGAAUUGAAACAUCUUAGUAGGAACAGGAAAAGAAAGCAAUCCGCGAUGUCGUUAGUAACGGCGAGUAAACGCGACACAGUCCAAACCGAAGCCUUCGGGCAAUGUGGUGUACGGACUACCCAUAACGGACCUGGGUCUUAUGUGAAGUCUCCUGGAACGGAGCGUGAUACAGGGUGAAAACCCCGUAACAUAAGAACCAGAUCCCGGGGUUGUUCCAGAAUAGCGGGGGUUGGAUAUCCCUCGUGAAUUUCGCAGGCAUCAACUGCGAAGACUAAACACUCCUCGAGACCGAUAGCGAACAAGUAGCGUGAGCGAACGCUGAAAAGCACCCCGAACAGGGCGGUGCAAUAGGGCUUGAAAUCAGUUGGCGAUAGAGCGACGUGGCAUACAAGGUCACUCGACGAAAGAACUGGGAGCGAUCCCGUAGUAUGACUCGAGUGAAGCCGAUGUUACGUCGUACGUUUUGAAAAACGAACCAUGGAGUGCAUCUGACUGGCGAGUCUAAGGGGUGAACCCCCGGAGGCAUAGGGAAACCGAUACGGCCGCAGUCUUUGACCAGGGCCACCGUCUUCAAGGGCGGGGAGCCAACCGGAUGCGACCCGAAACCAAGUGAUCUACGCCGGAGCAGGGCGAAGCGUGGCGAAAGCUGCGUGGAGGCCCGUUAGAGUUGGUGUCCUACAAUACCCUCUCGUGACUCUGGUGUAGGGGUGAAAGGCCCAUCGAACUUGGCAACAGCUGGUUCCAACCGAAACAUGUCGAAGCAUGACCUCUGAUGAGAUAGUUCGUGAGGUAGAGCGACCGAUUGGGAAUCCGGACUCCGAGAGGAGUUCGCUUCCCUGUCAAACUCCGAACUUACGAACGUCGUAGACUCAGGGAGUCCGGUGUGCGGGGUAAGCUUGUGCACCGUGAGGGAGACAACCCAGAGCCAGGUUAAGGACCCAAAGUGUGGAUUAAGUGUGAUUGAAGAUUGUCUCGAGCCCUAAACAGCCGGGAGGUGAGCUUAGAAGCAGCUACCCUCUAAGAAUAGCGUAACAGCUUACCGGCCGAGGUUCGAGGCGUCGAAAAUGAUCGGGACUCAAAUCCACCUCCGAGACCUGGCGGCGUGUCUUAUGACACGAUUCCGUAGGUUGGCAUACUGCAUGGGUGGAAGCACGGGUGAGAACUCGUGUGGACCGUGCAGCAACGAAAAUCAUGGUCUCAGUAGCAGCGAGAGUCGGGUGUGAACCCCGACGGCCUUACGCGCAAGGGUUCCUCGGCACUGUCAAUCAGCCGAGGGUUAGUCGAUCCUAAGUCUAACCGUAAUUCGAAUUAGAUGAAAGGGAAACUGGUUAAUAUUCCAGUACCUUCUUGCACCAAACGUCGACGCUUUAGGAAACACCGAGCGGGGCCUUCGCCCCGUCGAAUCACCGAAAUUCGUGGAAGCCGUAACGGCACGAAGCGAACGAACGGUGAGAUAGGGAAACUCGGCGGUACCUAGAGCCCGUGAAAAGACAAGCAAGAAGCUCGUACCGAGAUCCGACACAGGUGCGCUGGCAGAGCAAGCCAAGGCCUGUCGGGAUCAACCGACGUUAGGGAAUUCGGCAAGUUAGUCCCGUAAGUUCGCGAUAAGGGAUGCCUGCUCUUGACCGAGCAGGUCGCAGUGACUCGGACGCUCCGACUGUCUAGUAACAACAUAGGUGACCGCAAAUCCGCAAGGACUCGUACGGUCACUGAAUCCUGCCCAGUGCGGGUAUCUGAACACCCAUUACAAUGGGACGAAGGACCCGUCAACGGCGGGGGUAACUAUGACCCUCUUAAGGUAGCGUAGUACCUUGCCGCUUCAGUAGCGGCUUGCAUGAAUGGAUCAACGAGAGCGUCACUGUCCCAACGUUGGGCCCGGUGAACAGUACGUUCCAGUGCGGAGUCUGGAGACCCCCAAGGGGAAGCGAAGACCCUAUAGAGCUUUACUGCAGGCUGUCGCUGAGACGUGGUCGCUAAUGUGCAGCAUAGGUAGGAGCCAUUACACAGGUACCCGCGCCAGCGGGCCACCGAGGCAGCAUUGAAAUACUACCCGUUAGUGACUGCGACUCUCACUCCUGGCGGAGGACACCGGUAGCCGGGCAGUUUGACUGGGGCGGUACGCGCUCGAAAAGAUAUCGAGCGCGCCCAAAGAUUUCCUCACGCGAGUCGGGAACUCGUGGAAGAGCGCAAGAGCAAACGGAAGUCUGACAGUGACAUUCCCAACGAGUGUCGCUGACGCGAAAGCGUGGUCUAGCGAACCUACGAGGUUCAUUCAUGGGACCCGUAGAUGACAGAAAAGCUACCUUAGGGAUAACAGAGUCGUCACCGGCAAGAGCACAUAUCGACCCGGUGGCUUGCUACCUCGAUGUCGGUUCCCUCCAUCCUGCCUGUGCAGAAGCAGGCAAGGGUGAGGUUGUUCGCCUAUUAAAGGAGGUCGUGAGCUGGGUUUAGACCGUCGUGAGACAGGUCGGCUGCUAUCUAUUGGGGGUGUUAAGGAACUUGACGUGAACGUUCGUAUAGUACGAGAGGAACUACGAAUGGGUGCCACUGGUGUACCGGUUGUCCGAGAGGGCAGAUGCCGGGCAGCUACGCACCACGGGGUAAGAGCUGAACGCAUCUAAGCUCGAAACCCACACGGAAAAGAAGUUCCACUGAGGACACUCGUAGAAGACGAGUUCGAUAGACUCGGGGUGUACGCAACGAGGUAACGAGUUGUUAAGCCCGCGAGCACUAACAGUCCAAGCCACAUUCA
This is a ribosomal RNA of Haloferax volcanii DS2, 2913 nucleotides long. It matches the Rfam family "Archaeal large subunit ribosomal RNA". The record is from Rfam. Lineage: Archaea; Methanobacteriati; Methanobacteriota; Halobacteria; Halobacteriales; Haloferacaceae.